This is a long non-coding RNA of Oryza sativa Japonica Group (Japanese rice), 488 nucleotides long. RefSeq lists it as uncharacterized. The record is from RefSeq and is a predicted model, not a curated record. NCBI's taxonomy places the organism in Eukaryota, Viridiplantae, Streptophyta, Magnoliopsida, Poales, Poaceae.
UCCACCUGUAAUCAUGUAUACAUGAAUCAUAACCAGGAAGUGAAAAAAAAAAUAAUUCCCUCCAAAUAAUGAAAUGAAUACCACAAGAGGUAAUAUAUGGCUGUAAGUCAAAAAUUCUGAUGGAUACACAGUUCAGCUGAUCCAAAGUACGACCACAGAAAGCUUCGAAUAUUUAAUUCUUUAAUUAUACAUGAAGAAUGUUUAGUUAUGGACUUCUAUAGACAUUUCUGUGGUUGCAGCUGACAGGUUAUAUCUACAUGCAAAUAAUAACAGAUAACUAUUGGAAUCAAUUGAUCAAGUCAUGCAGCAAGAAGGGAUGGGGAUUAAGCAGAAUGUAGCCAGUACAAUUAGACUGUGUUCUGGUGAACAGAGAAUCAAAAUUUGGAGUGGGCUAGUGAAAAUUAGCACAAAACUAUCGAUUUAUGUAUAUGUUUCUUAUAUGUGUUUGCCACCAUGUUAUCAUGAUUAAAACGUGCUUUAUUGGUUGA